RNAcentral lists this ribosomal RNA (386 nucleotides) under uncultured bacterium. Its description in RNAcentral is "bacterial SSU rRNA". It matches the Rfam family "Bacterial small subunit ribosomal RNA", at positions 355 to 758 of the family's 1533-position model. The record is from RNAcentral.
UAGGGAAUAUUAGUAAUGGGCGAAAGCCUGAACUAGCAACGCCGCGUGUGCGAAGAAGGCCUUCGGGUUGUAAAGCACUUUUUGAGAGGAUGAGGAAGGACGGUACUCUCAGAAUAAGUCUCGGCUAACUACGUGCCAGCAGCCGCGGUAACACGUAGGAGGCGAACGUUAUCCGGAUUUACUGGGCGUAAAGCGCGUGUAGGUGGUUUGGUAAGUAGGGCGUGAAAGCUCCUGGCUCAACGGGGAGAGGCAGUGCUAAACUGCCUAACUUGAAGAUGGUAGAGGGAGGUGGAAUUCCGAGUGUAGCGGGGGAAUGCGCAGAUCUACGGAGGAACUCCUGUGGCGAACGCGGCCUCCUGGUCCAUUCCUGACACUCAGACGCGAAA